UAGGGAAUAUUGGUUAAUGGGGGAAACCCUGACGCAGCAACGCCGCGUGAGUGAGGAAGGUUUUCGGACCGUAAAGCUCUGUCGAGCGGGAAGAAAUGCAUGGUGGCUAAUAUCCAUCAUGCUUGACGGUACCGCUAAAGGAAGCACCGGCUAACUCCGUGCCAGCAGCCGCGGUAAUACGGGGGGUGCGAGCGUUGUUCGGAAUUAUUGGGCGUAAAGAGCGUGUAGGCGGCUGAAUAAGUCAGAUGUGAAAUCCCUGGGCUUAACCCAGGACGUGCAUUUGAAACUAUUCGGCUAGAGUAGGGGAGAGGAAAGUGGAAUUCCUGGUGUAGCGGUGAAAUGCGUAGAGAUGUGGAGGAACACCAGUGGCGAAGGCGCCCAUCUGGACGGUAACUGACGCUGAGACGCGAAAGCGUGGGGAGCAAACA
RNAcentral lists this ribosomal RNA (428 nucleotides) under uncultured prokaryote. RNAcentral's name for it is "bacterial SSU rRNA". It matches the Rfam family "Bacterial small subunit ribosomal RNA", at positions 355 to 774 of the family's 1533-position model. The record is from RNAcentral.